RNAcentral lists this ribosomal RNA (425 nucleotides) under uncultured bacterium. RNAcentral's name for it is "partial 16S ribosomal RNA". It matches the Rfam family "Bacterial small subunit ribosomal RNA", at positions 354 to 796 of the family's 1533-position model. The record is from RNAcentral.
GUGGGGAAUCUUAGACAAUGGGGGAAACCCUGAUCUAGCCAUGCCGCGUGAGCGAUGAAGGCCUUAGGGUUGUAAAGCUCUUUCAGCUGGGAAGAUAAUGACGGUACCAGCAGAAGAAGCCCCGGCUAACUCCGUGCCAGCAGCCGCGGUAAUACGGAGGGGGCUAGCGUUGUUCGGAAUUACUGGGCGUAAAGCGCGCGUAGGCGGACUGGAAAGUCAGGGGUGAAAUCCCGGGGCUCAACCCCGGAACUGCCUUUGAAACUCCCAGUCUUGAGUUCGAGAGAGGUGAGUGGAAUUCCGAGUGUAGAGGUGAAAUUCGUAGAUAUUCGGAGGAACACCAGUGGCGAAGGCGGCUCACUGGCUCGAUACUGACGCUGAGGUGCGAAAGCGUGGGGAGCAAACAGGAUUAGAAACCCUGGUAGUCC